UCUGGCGGGAUAGGUAGGGAAAAUUUUAACCUAGGGUUUGGUUUAUAAACCCUAAAGAGGAGAUUCUGAAACUCUAGUACGAGAGCAAAAUCGACUGGCCAAGAUCGAGGUUUCGAGGAGGCAAUCACAGCGAAUUUCAUCAGGGUUUUGAUCAUGUCAGGCAUAAAUGUUGGUCAACUCUUGGUUGAGAUAGAGCAGUUACGACAACGUGUACAAGAACUAGAAACAGAAAAUAAGCAGAUACAACAUGAUCUAGGCGAGUUUAUUCAACAACUAAACGAUGCUCGUGAGGAACAUAUAAACUACAAAAAUUCUAGUCGGGAUGAAUUUGACCGACAGGUGGACAUAUUAGCGCGUAAACUUUUUCCCUCGUAACCUUUUCCCUUUUUUCUGUUUUUAAUAAUCCCCUUUGGAGGACGGAGGAUAUCCAUGCAACAUCACUUUUUUUUUUU
This is a long non-coding RNA of Vigna unguiculata (cowpea), 452 nucleotides long. RefSeq lists it as uncharacterized. The record is from RefSeq and is a predicted model, not a curated record. NCBI's taxonomy places the organism in Eukaryota, Viridiplantae, Streptophyta, Magnoliopsida, Fabales, Fabaceae.